CUGCAAUCGUCCACAAAAUAUAUUGAGACUUUUUAAAUCAAUCCCCUCCCCCCUUAUUUUAAUGUUGAAACCUACUGUACUUAUCCAAAACGAACAUAAGGUGACACUAGAACCACAACUGUGUCACUGGCAGUUGAAAUGUAACAUAUGAUGUUGCAACUAAACUAUAUUGUAGUGCCUAACAACAUUGAAAUCGGGGAAGGGGGUUUGUC
RNAcentral lists this long non-coding RNA (212 nucleotides) under Paramuricea clavata. The record is from RNAcentral. Lineage: Eukaryota; Metazoa; Cnidaria; Anthozoa; Malacalcyonacea; Plexauridae.